GCGGGCAGCCUCCUUGGUGCAGUGGUUCUUAACAGUUCAACAGUUCUCUAGCAUAAUUGUGAAAUGUUUAGGACCACUUGACCAGGAAGGCCCGGG
RNAcentral lists this microRNA precursor (96 nucleotides) under Chrysemys picta bellii (western painted turtle). Its description in RNAcentral is "miRNA (ENSCPBG00000020201.1)". The stretch from base 8 to 87 matches the Rfam family "mir-203 microRNA precursor family". The record is from RNAcentral. Lineage: Eukaryota; Metazoa; Chordata; Testudines; Emydidae. RNAcentral also lists the same sequence under 1 other name.